GGAUGAAGAACGUAGCGAAAUGCGAUAAGUAAUGUGAAUUGCAGAAUUCCGUGAAUCAUCGAAUCUUUGAACGCACAUUGCGCCCCCUGGCAUUCCGGGGGGCAUGCCUGUCCGAGCGUCAUUUCUGCCCUCCAGCCCGGCUGGGUGUUGGGCGCUGUCCCCCCGGGGACACGCCCCAAAGGCAGUGGCGGCGCCGCGUCGGGUCCUCGAGCGUAUGGGGCUUUGUCACCCGCUCGGGACGGACUCGUCGGCGCUGGUCUUCCUCCAGGCGACCCUUCGGGGCUCGUCUUCCUUCGGUUGACCUCGGAUCAGGUAGGGUUACCCGCUGAACUUAAGCAUAUCAAUAAGCGGAGGAA
Molecule: unclassified non-coding RNA, 356 nt
Filed under: soil metagenome
Description: partial contains 5.8S ribosomal RNA, internal transcribed spacer 2, and large subunit ribosomal RNA
Rfam family: 5.8S ribosomal RNA (bases 2-121)
Source: RNAcentral